UGGGGAAUUUUGGACAAUGGGCGAAAGCCUGAUCCAGCAAUGCCGCGUGUGUGAAGAAGGCCUUCGGGUUGUAAAGCACUUUUGUCCGGAAAGAAAUCCUUGGCUCUAAUACAGUCGGGGGAUGACGGUACCGGAAGAAUAAGCACCGGCUAACUACGUGCCAGCAGCCGCGGUAAUACGUAGGGUGCAAGCGUUAAUCGGAAUUACUGGGCGUAAAGCGUGCGCAGGCGGUUUGCUAAGACCCGAUGUGAAAUCCCCGGGCUCAACCUGGGAACUGCAUUGGUGACUGGCAGGCUAGAGUAUGGCAGAGGGGGGUAGAAUUCCACGUGUAGCAGUGAAAUGCGUAGAGAUGUGGAGGAAUACCGAUGGCGAAGGCAGCCCCCCUGGGCCAAUACUGACGCUCAUGCACGAAAGCGUGGGGAGCAAACAGGAUUAGAUACCCUGGUAGUCCACGCCCUAAACGAUGUCAACUAGUUGUUGGGGAUUCAUUUUCCUUAGUAACGUAGCUAACGCGUGAAGUUGACCGCCUGGGGAGUACGGUCGCAAGAUUAAAACUCAAUGAAUUGACGGGGUCAUAGCUGUUUCCU
RNAcentral lists this ribosomal RNA (587 nucleotides) under uncultured bacterium. RNAcentral describes it as "partial 16S ribosomal RNA". It matches the Rfam family "Bacterial small subunit ribosomal RNA", at positions 355 to 1375 of the family's 1533-position model. The record is from RNAcentral.